This 838-nucleotide long non-coding RNA is filed under the name Homo sapiens (human). RNAcentral describes it as "HSALNT0405576". Lineage: Eukaryota; Metazoa; Chordata; Mammalia; Primates; Hominidae. The record is from RNAcentral.
CGCCGCCGCUGCCAACCCGGAAGGAGCCCGGAGGGGCCCGGGCGGCCAGGGCGCCCCCGCCAGGAGGCCCGCCAGGUGUCCACCUGAGCCCCACGCCCUGCGCCGCGGGGCCCUUUUGGGGGCGGGGUGCCAGCUCCGAGGUGUCCUCCCACGGGCUGUAGACUGGGAAACUGAGGCCCGGGCCACGGUCCCAGACGCAGCCGGGACCCGAACCCACCUCACCUGAGCGAAUGAUAUCCGGGACUCAUCCUUUUUCGACACCUUUGCGGGAUCCAGCCCUCCAAGGAAAGCUUCCUGAGCAGUGCGCGCCACGUGUAUUGGGCACCUCACCGCGGCCACUUCACAUCCUAUCUCAGGUGGAGAAACUAAGCCACAGAAAGGAGCUGUCAUUUACCUAAAGCACCGUGGCAGGGGUUUGGCAGAGCCAGGAUUUGUACCCAGAUCGCCUGACUUCGGAGAGUAACAGCUCUUAACCACAGCACUUCGGUCUAUGCCUUGAUUUCACCAUAUGUAACAAGCAGCUGUGCCACUUUGCAUUCCCACCAGCAGCACGCAAGCGUUCGAAUUUCUCCGCACGCUCCCCAACAGGACAAGAGCUUGCCGUGUUGCCCCAGGCUGGUCUCAAACUCCUAGCCUCAAGCAAACUUCCUGUCUCGGCCUUUCAAAACCCUGAGAUUACAAGCAUAAGAAAAGAAAAUCUUGUAAGAUGAAAGCUGAAGGAUGAGAGCAAUUAAUUGAUGAAGUAUGAUGAUCCAGGUGUCCCUGGGUGAAGAAACAACCUCUACAAAGGCCCUGAGGGUCUCGCUCAUCACCAGGCUGGAGUACAGUGACAUGAUCA